RNAcentral lists this ribosomal RNA (307 nucleotides) under uncultured fungus. RNAcentral describes it as "SSU rRNA". It matches the Rfam family "Eukaryotic small subunit ribosomal RNA", at positions 39 to 352 of the family's 1831-position model. RNAcentral also lists the same sequence under 1 other name. Lineage: Eukaryota; Fungi. The record is from RNAcentral.
AAAGAUUAAGCCAUGCAUGUCUAAGUAUAAGCAAUCAUACUGUGAAACUGCGAAUGGCUCAUUAAAUCAGUUAUCGUUUAUUUGAUAGUACCUUUACCUGGAUAACCGUGGUAAUUCUAGAGCUAAUACAUGCUAAAAACCUCGACUUCGGAAGGGGUGUAUUUAUUAGAUAAAAAACCAAUGCCCUUCGGGGCUCCUUGGUGAUUCAUAAUAACUUAACGAAUCGCAUGGCCUUGCGCCGGCGAUGGUUCAUUCAAAUUUCUGCCCUAUCAACUUUCGAUGGUAAGAUAGUGGCUUACCAUGGUCU